This 296-nucleotide long non-coding RNA is filed under the name Gossypium raimondii (Peruvian cotton). RNAcentral's name for it is "long non-coding RNA (GRAI_LNC004042)". Lineage: Eukaryota; Viridiplantae; Streptophyta; Magnoliopsida; Malvales; Malvaceae. The record is from RNAcentral.
AACCUCCCCACGCUUAAGAUGUACAUUGCCCUCAAUGUACAAACAGAUAUAAGUACAGAAUAAUCACAAUAUCAAAAAAGAAGGGGAGAACUAAAACUGCCCUGAAUAUGGACGAGAUCUCCAGAAUAGAGAAAACCAAAAGUGUGAGCAAAUCUAAAUGUAGUGCAUGUUUCCGAGCAACUAAUAAAAAGAAAACCACAAAUAAAUAAAAAGAUUUAGAGGUUACAAACUCGAAUAAAAACCACCAUCAAAAUAAGAAAAAUAAAAACAUAGUUCAAAAUAAAAAUAAACUAAAG